This 406-nucleotide ribosomal RNA is filed under the name uncultured Candidatus Brocadia sp. Its description in RNAcentral is "bacterial SSU rRNA". It matches the Rfam family "Bacterial small subunit ribosomal RNA", at positions 432 to 828 of the family's 1533-position model. Lineage: Bacteria; Pseudomonadati; Planctomycetota; Candidatus Brocadiia; Candidatus Brocadiales; Candidatus Brocadiaceae. The record is from RNAcentral.
GCUGUCGGGAGUUAGGAAGUGCAAGGAUGUUAAUAGCGUUCUUGCUUGACUAAGGCUCCGGAGGAAGCCACGGCUAACUCUGUGCCAGCAGCCGCGGUAAUACAGAGGCGGCAAGCGUUGUUCGGAAUUAUUGGGCGUAAAGAGCACGUAGGCGGCUGUGUAAGUCGGUUGUGAAAGCCUUCCGCUUAACGGAAGAACGGCAUCCGAUACUGCAUAGCUUGAGUGCGGGAGGGGAGAGUGGAACUUCUGGUGGAGCGGUGAAAUGCGUAGAUAUCAGAAGGGACACCGGCGGCGAAGGCGACUCUCUGGUCCGUAACUGACGCUGAGUGCGCGAAAGCUAGGGGAGCAAACGGGAUUAGAUGCCCCGGUAGUCCUAGCCGUAAACGAUGGGCACUCAGUAGAGGGA